This 84-nucleotide transfer RNA is filed under the name Myxococcales bacterium. RNAcentral describes it as "tRNA-Leu". It matches the Rfam family "tRNA". Rfam says of the family: Transfer RNA (tRNA) molecules are approximately 80 nucleotides in length. Their secondary structure includes four short double-helical elements and three loops (D, anti-codon, and T loops). Further hydrogen bonds mediate the characteristic L-shaped molecular structure. tRNAs have two regions of fundamental functional importance: the anti-codon, which is responsible for specific mRNA codon recognition, and the 3' end, to which the tRNAs corresponding amino acid is attached (by aminoacyl-tRNA synthetases). tRNAs cope with the degeneracy of the genetic code in two manners: having more than one tRNA (with a specific anti-codon) for a particular amino acid; and 'wobble' base-pairing, i.e. permitting non-standard base-pairing at the 3rd anti-codon position. Lineage: Bacteria; Pseudomonadati; Myxococcota; Myxococcia; Myxococcales. The record is from RNAcentral.
GGCCGAGUGGCGGAACUGGCAGACGCGCCGGAUUCAAAAUCCGGUUCCCGCAAGGGAGUAUCGGUUCAAGUCCGAUCUCGGCUA